UUCAGAAAAGAAAAGCGAACGUGAGGAGCUGGCUGGAGAGGGAGCGGCAUGAGGCUGGGGGCAUGUGGGGACCCCUCACUGAACGGCCUGGGGCCUCCAUGCACUGAGGACGCCACAGAGGGACGGGGGCUCGGGCUGCAGAGAACAGGCCGAGAUCAGACCCGAAGCUGCAAGCCCUGAGACGCCAGGCGGGCACCUGGGGAGGCGGCCUCCUCCCGGGGCCUCGGCCGGCUGGCGCCGCCCUUUUCUGGCCUGUGGUUUAGAAGGAACAUGGGGAAAAGGCAAAUCACCAAUUCCGAUCCCGUCUUUAUUUACAGUUUUUGAAUUCGUGUUCAUCCUGGCUUUUUUGCAUUAAAUUCGAUGUCCUGCAAUGUCCAUGACAAUACCAGUCGUGGUCACUGAGCUUUUUGCCGCCCCCCCCCCAGUGCCUCACCGGCGGGCAGCACCCUAUCCCGCCUGCGCCCCAAGCUUGGGCUAGUGGUUCUCAGACCCUGCGAUUCUAUAGCCAAUCCCUGUUCACAGGGGAAAAAGGUUGGAGGGACCAAGACGGGGCUGGUGACGUUUAAUUUUACCAGUUAAGGGCGUUUAUACAGUCUACUGUCAUCGUCUCCUUGAAAUAAGGAGGCGUGAGGACACACCUUCACACUGGAUAUGUGUAGCUUUCGGCAAACCCACAGUGUUUCUCUUGUUUUUCAGGAGAAUCUGUGCUGAGGACCAGACCUGUCUGUGAGGAGCUCUGGGGCCCGUCCGGUCAGCGGCCCUGUGACUCACCGUGACCACAGACACACCGGGAACACACCCCAGGGCCACCGGGACCUCCGGGCGGCAUGUCCUUCCCUGAAGGACCAUGGCACGAAGCGUGGCCCAGCAGACAGCACGGUGCCUGGCGCAGUGGACGUGCCUGACAGAGCCACCGAGGGAACAGGUGGGCGAGUGAAGCCAAACAUUGGUGUGGAAUGACGCAGAUCAGAAAGUCUGCAGAGUAAGGAGCCGAGCGCAGAUGAGUACGACCAAACCACUCAUGGGGAGUCCCUAGCUGCCCGCCCGCCGUCACCCCCGACCCCCACUGCUCUCCCUUCCUCCUCACGGCUCCCAGGCCUCUGCUCUUCGCAUCCUCCCAGCACUGACACGAACCCAGCCAGCCGGAGAGCACCAAAAGGGCCACUUAGAAGUGAGCCAUCUGAGUGCUGGGUCCUACUGCCCACCGGGGCUGCAGCAGAAGCCACACAGCCACCUUCCUGCCCGCAGUAAACAGGCUGCAAUGGCCGAGUCAGGACUGGGGGCCCGGGCUGCGACCUCAGCCGCCCACAGGCCACGUGCUCACAGGGCCGGGUACACGGCUGACCGCUGUGCCCUCGCCAUCCAACGUCCUCCGAACUCCUGGACGGGGGCCCCACACCUAACGCGACCCUGGGUCCUGAUCUUUCACAGCUGCUCCUGGGCCUGACGGGAACACUGGGUGCCAGAUGGCCGGGGUGGGGCACCCUUCACCCCGCCAUCCUGUUAGACCUCCGUCAGCUCCUGGCCAUCCCUCAGUCUGCCGUGCUUGGGGCACCAGCUCCGGCGCCUGUCUUACUUCUCAGACACCGAACUCUUCCUAAAACGCACGUGUUCGGUGGCUGCCAUGCUGCCACGUGGCAUCCAGACCUGGGAGCUUGGCACACAGCCCUGCGGCCGGCCUGUGCCUGCCACCUCCUCCACACUUGACUCCGGCCAGAGUGAAGCACGCACGUGCGUCUCCCGACUUCAGUGUGCUGCUCCUGACACCAGGACGUCCCUCCUUCUCCACCUGGCUGUUGGGGGGACUUCGACUGUACACAGACCUCGGGGCGCCCGCCGCCCAGCUUCCACUUACCGAGGCCUGGCCGCGUUUGCCAUCCAUGCGCCCACCCACGCCUGUCCCAGCCUCGGGUGAUUUUGAAGCCACGACAGUGCAAUGACCAUAGUCACCUCCCAAGUGUCAUGGGGCUUAAAGACUCAGCGUCCUGCUCUGCUGUCCCCCAACCCUCCUGGAGCCUGGGGAACGGUGGCUCGAGGGGCGUCACUUUACUGAGGUGAAAACCUCCAAAAGGACUCAGCAAGGGCGGAGGUGGCCUUGAAACCCACGACCCCUCUCCUCGCCACAGUCCCUCCCCCAGAGGCUGGAGGAGGUCGUCAUCGGAUCGAGAGAAGGGACAGGCAGGCAGCGCAGUGGGUGCUCAGUGGUGUGUCCCCACACUGCCCUUCCGGGGCAUAAAGAUCUGCAAGGCACAGCUGCCAUCAUCCGAGGCUGAGACGGACAGUGACCCCGGACCCAGAACGUUCUGGGCAGACUGGGAUCACGGGCACAGGGGACAGGUGAGAGGGAGCAAGAUGGGAGCAGUGACUUCCCGGAGCAGCACACCCUGGACGGGGUGGCGGGACCGUCUCUGUGAGCGGUGACAGCGAGCUGUGCCCUGGGGCCAGAGCCUGCAGAUUUCUCGCCAGCCAAGGGCCAUGGAGCCGGCACAAGCUCUUAACCAGAGACUUGGCCAUCGAUCGGAUCGGCGUUUCGGGAAGCACUGUCUCAGGCAUUUGCGGAGGGUGGGGCUGAGGUGGGGCCGAGCGUGCGCUCCCACAGGGGUCCAGGCCGGCAGCCGAGCAGGGAGCGCAGGGGCCGCAGGAGAAGCCCACGGCGCCGCCACACCGGGGUCACAUGUGGACGCCCAGAAGGCAGAGCGCGGUGCCCGGAGGCCUCGGUGCCGAACCCUGGCUGAGGAAAGCUGGCAGUUUGUGACGAGGACCCGAUCCCGGCUCAGUGCCCACAAGUCUGGCUUUAGUCAGGUCUGACCCGCAGCAUGGGGCCACGUGCCACGUGGUCAGUCUCACCCAGGCUGGGGGCAGAAAGGGCGGGGACCGAGCCUGAGCAUGAGGAUAAUGUUGGGAACAACCCCAGCAAGGUCUGAGCUAAACAGGACAAGUAAAGCCAGAAGGGCGUGGAAGUUGAGGAGUGUGCCCAUACUGGGGGCCUUCUUCCAGCUUUUGUGCUCCAUCCUCACGGAGACUCCAAACCAGGCAGCAGCACCUCCGUUUACAGGCGGAGAACUUCAAAGGUCACUGUGCAUGUUCUAGGACCCAGAAUUCCACUCCAAAAUGGCAUCACAAGCACACCCGAAAAGGCCAGGCUGACCCGUGUCCUGGGGGACGGGAGGGGGAACGGCGAUGAGAGGAAGCUGGGGGCAGCGCCCACAACUCCUGCUUCUUGUUCACUGCGUGAGAGCCCAUGGAACUCUACAUUUGCAUUUUGUUUUCUUUUCGUAUGUAAUUUAUAUUUCAACAAAAACGUGUGUGAAAAAAAAUCCAUUAUCAAGUAAACAUGCGAUACAGACAGGAAGACACUAAAGAAUGAAAACAAAAGCAAAGCUUGUAAACAUUAGAUGCUGUCUGAGGCCACCCAGCGGGUGGUCCAGCUGGCCUUGCAAACCCAGUACUUGUCGGAGCACAGCAGCUGCCAGCGGUGUGCUGGGAAAGGACCUGUGUGCCCCCUCCCCCUUGGGCACAGGUGGCCUUGGGGACAGCAGAUCAGUGCACUGGGGGUGAAAAUCUACGGGGUUUUUAAGCAGCCCUGGCAGCUGGCUGUUGUGUGCUGACUGUUCACGUGUGGGAUUUCGUCUCUGGGAGGGCUGUCGUGUUUUCUCUCCCUGGCCAGGCAGCGCCUGUGACUAUUGUCACGGCCUCCUGAGUCCGCCCCCCCCCCCUUCAGUCCAGCCUGUAUACCGCUCCUGGUGUCAUCUUCCCAGAGCAGCACACGGCAGCACCUCAGAGACCAACCUCAUCCUCUGUGUGUCACCCUGACUGCGACCCUGCCCGUGUCCGCUGUCCUCCUUCCCAACACGAGAGGUGGCUGCAGGCGCGAGGCCAGGCCUUGAGUCCCGUGCCUUCCCGCCCCUCCUGCCUCCCUCCCCAGUGUCAUCAGGGUCCCUUGUCUACUGCACCAGCCCGGUCGACAUCUGAACACGCUGUGAGUCCUCUUAGAGGAAUCCACCCUUGGCGCCAGCUUCCAACCCAACUCUGCUUCCCAUGAACAAAAUGCAGACAGAGGCUGGUGGGCGCCCCGUGCGGGCAUGUGGCCCACAUCACUCGCCCUCCACCAGUGAACGCACGCUCCCCCACCCCAGGGCCCCUGUCCUUCCAGUUGCUACGGUUGAUUCUGUUCCCAUCUUGUUAACCUCUCAGCAGAACGAACAUGGUGACGGCGGGUACCCUCCCGUUCGUUCAGCCCCUUUCUCACUGGCUUUUGGGGAGCCACUCGGCUUCCCGACCUCUCAGCCUCCCCUCCCAGUGCCCCGUGUGGCGCCAUGGAGGCCCCCUGGUCCUUGGCCCUCUGCCCUUCUUGCCCACAGCCCCCCUCAGUGGCCUCUUUCAGGCUCAGAGCUUUAAACGUCAUCUAUACACAGAUGUUCCCCAAUUAAAAAAACCACUUUCCCCCCCCACUGAGCCCCCCACGGGUCCACCCCAUGCCGACCCCACACUUCCUCCUUGAGGCCUACCGACUACAGGAGCUGAGCUUGUCCAGAUCACAAGUCGAGCUCCUCAGAGCCACCCUGUCCUGCAGUUCUCCUAGCUUAGUUAGUGGCAUCAGAUUCACCCAAAGGGCUCAGGCGGGGCUGGUCACCCCACCGUCUUUUCCCCCAGGAUGCCAGCCAGUCCAUCUGUGCUGCCCCAAGAGCUUCCUGAGUCUGACCACUUCUCCUCAAACCAUCCUUGGCCUCUUGUCUGAACCACUUACUCGUGUCCACUGGCCCAGGUUGGGGCAGAGGUAGAGGCAGCCCUGGCCCCGGGCUGCCCACUCACUCACCCAGGAAGGCAGCCCGGCCGGCAGAGGCCUGUGUGCCGUGGCCGGGGCCCUUCCGUUUACCCACCGGACAGGCCUCUGAGUACGAGCUUCUCUUCCGGCCCCACCCCGUGCUUUGUCCGUUACCGUGUGCGCGCACACGCAUGUAGGCUUCACAUGGCUGAGGACGGCACCUGACCUCUGUCUCCCAUGCUCCCAGCACCUCAGCCAGCUUGCACUCGGCUCGGUGGUGGGGUGCUGACAUAGGCACUGCCACACCAGGCGGCUGAGGCUGGGCAGACAGGCCAGAUGACGGCUCUGUCCCCCUGGCGUCUGCUCAGACGCUCCGAAGGUCCCAGCCCAAGACGCUGGUAGCAACCUCCCCAGUCAAUGGGACUCAGACCCGCCCCUCACUGCUGAGCCAUCUCCAGUCCUCCUUGGUCCGGUCCAUCUGUCCUGCUUCCGUCCUACCAGCCCAGCCAGCCAGCUCUCAUACCACCGUCCUGAGAAGGGGCAGCGCUGGGGACAGGCAGGCACGAUGCCUCAAACUCCAGCACAUUAAGUCGUCCAUAUGUGCAGAAGGAAAUAUAACCCACGAGCAAAGACAACAAUAAUAACACGCUCCCGUGGACUCCCCCACCUGGUCCCAGGAACGGCCAGCUGCUUUCCAGCUCUGUACAGAGGCUGUGCUCAUGUUCCAGGGAGGCGUCCACACUUGUCUAGCGCUGGCUGGGUGCCCUCUCCUGCUCACCAUCAUCUAUUCUGGCUCCCCACCCGGCCCCCGGGGCUAUUUUGGGUGAGUACCCAUUGGGGUUAGUUAGUCCCCUUACGUGAGGGCUGAGGGCCAUGCUGCCUAGGGACCCCGAUAUGACCCAGCCUUCUGCAAAGGGCGGUCUGAGGGCUCUGCAGCAGCCUGGGCCUUCCCAGCACCCCCCACUCCUGCAGAGAUACGUGGACACUGCUCCUGACCUGAGACAGGUCGGGGAGGAGGUGCUGAGGCCUGUGAGCCAGUGGGGGGCGGGGAAGGUCAGGAGGCUGGGCCAGUGGGGGUGCUUCUGCUUAGCUUCUCGAGUUUACCCCGGGGGAGAACCCGAAAGAGCUCCCCCACCCCCAGCUCAGCUGCCCAGCUCCUGGCUGACGCAGGUGCUAAUCCUGCGCCCCUGGGAACGCCAGCGGGGAGCCUGGGAGGCAGGCUGGAGGUUUUCUUUCCCACUCGGGAAAGAAAGAGGACACAUGAGCCGACCUGUUGGGAUCCAGUUCCUGAAAUCGGAGCCCAGGACAGGGUUUCACUGCAGCAGGCUGCACACCUGCCCAGGGGCUCGGUCCUGUACCUGUAGGGAAGGACCCUGCUGAGGGACCUUCCCCUUUAAAAGGAGGGACGGAGGACAGCCGGGGCUCAGCUCUGCCCCCCAAGGCCUCACCCUGAUCCCCCUGCUAACAUCCAUUCACUGCAGAGGAAGAGACAGAAAACUGAUGUGACAGCAAGGUGACAUCAGGAUAGGUCGGCACAACGCCUGGUGUCAGCGGGGCUUGACCCACCUGGAGGAAGUGGCGCCUGAGACCUGAGGACAGCACGGGGUGGGCUGGAGGGGGGCGCGCUCAGGACAGAGGUCGCACCACCCACACGGCAGCCAGUCUGAAUCCUGGGGCUCCCCUCCCCAGGAAGACCCAGAGCUUAAGACAAUAACUGGGCCCCCUUCCACGCUUGGUUUCUGUCUAUUUCUUAAGAAUUAGUCUGGAAAAUUUCAAACAGGCACACGAAAGUAGGGAGACGAUGUAACGAACCCCCCGAGGCCUCAUCACCCAGCUCCAAUGUUCCCAAGCAGUACAGUCUCAGCUCAGCACUCCCCGCGGCCGCAUUAUUUUACAGGAUUCCUUAAUUCGCUAAG
Molecule: long non-coding RNA, 6681 nt
Organism: Hipposideros armiger (great roundleaf bat)
Lineage: Eukaryota; Metazoa; Chordata; Mammalia; Chiroptera; Hipposideridae
Exons: 8
Source: RefSeq, a predicted model, not a curated record